GGGAGAGCAUCGUCGCAGGUCACGGAAUCGGGGCUCAGGCGGACUUUUAAUCCGGCGGGCAGGGUUCGAGUCCCUGGCGGCCCA
Molecule: transfer RNA, 84 nt
Filed under: Actinomycetota bacterium
Lineage: Bacteria; Bacillati; Actinomycetota
Description: tRNA-Lys
Source: RNAcentral